Nematolebias whitei (Rio pearlfish) is the source of this 195-nucleotide long non-coding RNA. RefSeq lists it as uncharacterized. Lineage: Eukaryota; Metazoa; Chordata; Actinopteri; Cyprinodontiformes; Rivulidae. The transcript has 3 exons. The record is from RefSeq and is a predicted model, not a curated record.
GUUACAGCUGCAGGGUCGCGCCAGUGGAGGUGCAACGUCUGCUCCAAGAUAUCGGAGCUGAAGGUGGUGACUGGAGAGUGGUUCCUGGAGGAACGGUCCAAACGCUUCGAGCAGAAAACGCUGAGCAGUGACGUCAUCAAACAGUCCAUCCUGAGCAGUCCGCCAACCACAGAAAAAAAGGCUACAGAGAAUAUA